Manis javanica (Malayan pangolin) is the source of this 288-nucleotide non-coding RNA. NCBI's taxonomy places the organism in Eukaryota, Metazoa, Chordata, Mammalia, Pholidota, Manidae. The record is from RefSeq and is a predicted model, not a curated record.
AGGAAGGGUGGUGACAGGCAGCCAGCACAGGAGGCCACUUUUUCUGUGGGUGGAUAUAUGAAACCAGAGAAAAAUCUUGAACUGAGGGCCUGGGCUCCUCUCCUUCCCAGACUGGACACCACGGAGUGACUUUCCCUCUCUUCUACCGAGUUGGGUGCGACAGGGAAAGAAGGUGGACUAUCAUCUCCGAAUGCCUCUAAGGAACAGAAGCUCGUUUCUUAAGAGGAAGCAGAUGGUUGGUAUGAGGAAACGUCUGGUCCAGCAGGAGAAACAAGUUCUGCAGUUGCC